Molecule: small nucleolar RNA, 130 nt
Organism: Nycticebus coucang (slow loris)
Lineage: Eukaryota; Metazoa; Chordata; Mammalia; Primates; Lorisidae
Product: small nucleolar RNA SNORA11
Exons: 1
Source: RefSeq, a predicted model, not a curated record
AAGGUGUUCUCAGAGCAGGGGGCCUGAAGAAUGACUCUUUUGUUUAUAACACGCCCAAUAGGAAUCUGGGGUCAUUGUGAUGAGGGGCAUAAAACUUGUAGCCUCAGACCUGGUGUGGUGGCUCAAGCCU